UUUCUGAUUUUUGUUCCCUCUUAGCUGGCUCCCCUCAUCCGCACGUUGGAAUCUUCUCGGGCAAGCUUGAUUUGCCGACCUCAGCUUCUGCAUCUCUCGGCCCCAAAAACCCCGCAGCUCCUCGCCAACGUUUUCAUCAUUUCAACGCCACGAAAACUCCUGUCCCGUGUCUCCACUUCACGGAACUUCAGUCCACCGCAUCUGCUUGAAGACGCCGAGGCAACACCGAAGCAGCUCCGUGCCACGUUUUCAGUCAACCUUGCUGCCUCUCGGACGACCGGUUGACCUACGCUCAGCCAGCAUGCGACAGCUGCUUCCUUCAAGUGUUGUCCAGCACUGAAGACCGAAGUCCUCUCAGCCUCCACGCGUCCGACUUGCUCCGUGGGUCAAACUCCAGCAACAAGCUUCGGUUUGUUGACCGAAGACCCCACGACACCAACAGAGAAGCCACGGGAACGGAGGCAGUCAGCCACGCCAUCCACCGAAGACUCCACCGAACGCCCUCUUCUCUCCAUCCGCGGCCAGCUGUCCGCGAUUCUGCUUCCCCGGUCAACCGUCGAAGUCCACAGCAAGCACCGAAGCCAUUUUGUUGACUGAAGCUACUCACCGCUUCGUGCGUCCAGCGAAGCCACUGUCCACCGAGCCUCCAGUCCACGUAGCCUUCGGCUGCUCCCUCCGAUUCAACCAAGUCUUCGUCUGCGAGAUCCACCGAGCAUCCUCACGCCGCCAGCACAUCGGUCAAAUCCAACAACUCGCCCCACUGAUUGUUGACCAGAGCAGCUGCCAGCGUCCCGACCUUCAUCCAUUUUCAACGCCAUCAACGGCUUCGAUUGGUCAAGCUGCACGAAGCCUCGUGUGUCUUCCCUCAGCUCCAGCGACGUCCAUCGAAGCAGCAACCCAGCAUCUCCGUGGAUUGAACCCAGCAAUUCGGGCCCAGCAGUCCAGCGAAGACCGAAGCAGCCCACGCAAAUUUCUCUUCGUGGAUUGCAGCCCAACAGCGGCCUUUGUUGCUUCUCUCACCAGGCCAGAUCUGCAGCCCACGUGACCUUCAAUUCAACAAACCAGCCGAAGACAAGCCUUGCAGCAAGCCCAGCCCGUGAGUUUCAAUCCUUUGGGCCACCGAAUUCAGCACAAGACCAGCAAGCCCAGUUCAGCUAGCGCACUUGGUUCAGUCCAAUUCAGCAGGCCCAACCCAACUUGGGUCCAGCCCAAAAGCAAGAACAAAUCUCAUUUGGGAUGAGAUUUGUUGGGCCAAGGUCGAGGCCCGGUCCAAGCCUGUCGGGGUCGUCGAAAGCCCGAUUUCGGCCGCCGUCGCAGUAAUUCGGUUCCCGCUUUUAAUCAAGACCCUGAGAAAGAGCCGAGGAGGAGGAACCUGAGGAAGAGAAAGAUUUUUGAAGAAGAAGAUGAUGAUCCAGAGAGGGAUCUUGAGUACAACCCGGAUGUGGAUUGAGAUCCCAUCCCUUUUGUGAACCCUGUUUUAGUGUAAAUAGGUGUGAGACUUGGUUGCUGUAAAUAGUAUUGUAAAGAUACUAUGAGUUGCACUAUUAAUAAAAGUGUAGUUGAGAAUUUCAAUACGAAAAAUAUGGCCUGCUUUUC
Molecule: long non-coding RNA, 1596 nt
Organism: Eucalyptus grandis
Lineage: Eukaryota; Viridiplantae; Streptophyta; Magnoliopsida; Myrtales; Myrtaceae
Exons: 2
Source: RefSeq, a predicted model, not a curated record